This 6620-nucleotide long non-coding RNA is filed under the name Triticum aestivum (bread wheat). RNAcentral describes it as "long non-coding RNA (TAES_LNC012221)". The record is from RNAcentral. Lineage: Eukaryota; Viridiplantae; Streptophyta; Magnoliopsida; Poales; Poaceae.
UUCAGUAAUGACUAAAUUUAUUUAUAUCAGCAGAAUAAGAUAGGAGCAAAUGUAUGUCGAAUAAUCAACUCGCUAGAAAUCAAGCAAUAGGAGAGUAAAACAGGCAAAUAAUUCUCAUACAGUAUACAUAAUUAAUUUGGUACCUGUUGUGCUCUUCUACAUUUGAAGGUCUGCUGAUGCGGCCUGCGGUUAUGCUAGACUCCGCCCUUCGUUCCACUCGUCUCACCCUAAAGAUGACGAACACAUCACAAUGGAAUCGGAAGGGCUCCUAGGCCCUAGACUCUAAGUACUCGAAUGCCAAAGCAAAAGCAGUGCAACCAGAAUACCAGAUUGUGCUGUUGAGUGGAUGUGGGCGUAUAAUGCCAGUGCUGCGUGGGCCUCCUAUCAUCUUCCGCCCUCUCCCGCCUCUCCUCUUGUUACUCCUCGGAUACUACCUGCAACAAGCGAAUAAGAGAAGUAGAGAACAUAUAUAGUCUGACGACCCCACGACCGAACUCUCUUUUCCCUACAGCCUACAUAGCCAUUACAUCAAACAGCACGCGAGCACCUCGGCCCGCGUCGGCCUGUCAGACCCGAGUUGUCUGACGGACUAAAUUCAGAAAAUGCACUCAGAAUUCAGAGAAUAUCACUAGCACAACUUGAUUUCAGAGGACAGUUUGGCUAGGGUUUUGGUUACAAGGAGACCAACCGGGAACACCGGUGGCUAGGGUUUACCCCAAGGGAGAAUAAUCAUGAGCACGCAGGCUCUCAAAUCCUGGCUAUAUAGCCUUACAAGCCACUAGAAGGGGCGAGAAACGCACAUGGAGGAGAGGGGAGUGGUUGAGCUUUACAGAAAGAUCAACGGCGACGCCUUGACCACCAAGAGCCGUCCGAUGGAAGAUCAACGCACCACGUCUUCUGUAGCUUGCCGAAGCGGUACGAAGCAACCAGGUGCGUUGGAUGGAAGAUGGGCGGUUUUCCAAGCUUAGCGCCCAUGUUUAGCAGUCUGAAUUUAACUGAAUGAACGAGAACAGAAAAGAUACAGCAUACAGGGUCCUGACAAUUCCUCCCGCGCGAGACCAGACCUGUCCUCAGGGCUGAAAGAAAGGAAACACCUUCUGGAUGAACUGGGCAUCCUCCCAGGUUGCGUCCUGCAAUGGCAGGUUGGCCCACUUGAUCUUCCAGCGUACCACUGGUAUGUCGAUGUCCCCUGGGUUCGAGGAACCAAUUUUAUUUCCAGCAGCAUCUCUGGUUCCAGAAGAAUUGUGCCAUCAGGGUUGAUCAAAGGAAGUUUGGGAUUGGGCACCGCAGUAGGGCCGAUGUGUUUCUUUAACUGGCUGAUGUGGAAUGUGUGGUGGAGUUUGCAAUCCUCCGGUAACAGCAGCUUGUAAGCGACCUUGCCUAUUUUCUGUAGGACUUUGAAGGGUCCAUAGUAUUUGGAGUGGAGCUUCAGGCACCUGUGAAUGCUCAGUGUGGUAUGCCUAUAAGGUUGUAACUUUAGGUAGACCAUGUCUCCUACUUCCAAGGACCUUUCACUUCUCUUUUUGUCUGCAUAAUGUUUCAUCCUUUCCUGUGUUGUGAGUAGGUUGCCCUUGAUCUGAUUGGCUGUCUGUUCAGCGGUGAGUACCGAAGGUAAUGUGUCUGUGCUGUCCUCUGGGUAUAAAGCAGCUUCCGCUAGCAUUUGUGGUUUCCUGUUGUACAAAGCCUGAAAUGGUGUGAUUUGAAGAGCUGUAUGGAAGCUUGUAUUGUACCACCAUUCCGCCAGGGAGAGCCACUGGUGCCACUUGGUUGGUUUGAGAAAUGCCAUGCAUCUUAAAUAAUUCUCCAUGCACUGAUUAACCCUCUCAGUCUGACCAUCCGACUGGGGGUGAUAGGAGGUACUAAGGUGGAGUUUAAUGCCCAAUUUCUUGAAAAGUUCCUGCCACAGGUUGCUAGUGAAGAUCUUGUCCCUGUCAGUUACUAUCACGGAUGGAAGACCAUGGAGUUUAAAGAUAUUAUCCACAAAGGCCCUAGCCACAGAACUGACAGUGAUAGGGUGUUUCAUAGCAAUAAAGUGGCUGUACUUGGUGAACCUGUCCACGACCACUAGGAUCAAGUCCUUGUUGUUGGAUGUAGGCAGCCCCUCCACAAAAUUCAUGCUGAUAUGGCACCAAGCAAAGUCAGGGACUGGUAGUGGCUGUAGCAAGCCAGGAUAUUUGCAAUGCUCUGCUUUGUUGAUUUGGCAAACAGGACACUGUUUGAUAUAGUCCACUACUGCUUGUUUCAUGCCGGGCCAAUGGAAUAAUAACUUGAUUCUCUGAUAUGAAGCUCUAUGACCCAAGUGACCACCCAAUUCCGAGCUGUGUAAAGCAGCAAUUAAUUUGUUUUGGAGGGGUUGGCUGUUUCCAAUCACUACUCUGUUCUUGUAUCUGAGAAUACCAUUCUAGAGAGUGUAGUUUGGUAAUCCUGAAGGAUUAAUGGAUAAUUGGGUGAUCAAGUCCUUGCACUUGUUGUCAGAUUUGUAAGUAUCAGUAACCUCUCCUAUCCAAGCAGGUUUGGCUGUACUAACAAACAAACUGUGGAGUUUGUGUUGCACUCUUGAGAGUGCAUCAGCAACUCUGUUGGUAUUUCCCUUCUUGUACUCAAUUGUGUAGUUGUACCCCAACAGUUUAACCAAGAGCUUAUGAUGAAUUCCUUCAGUAAGUUUCUAGUCUUGGAUGUACCUUAAACUUUGUUGGUCAGUUCUUAUUAUCAGAGAAGAAGCUGAGAAGUAAUGUUUCCACUGUUUGAGUGCUUCUAUAAUAGCCAAAGCUUCCUUGUCAUAAGUGGACCAAGCAGUAGCCCGAGGUCCAAUUGCUUUGCUGAAGUAAGCAAUGGGCCGUCCACCCUGCAUGAGGACAGCACCAAUUCCAUAAGCACACACAUCAGCUUCGAGCACAAAUGGUUUUGUGAAGUCAGGUAGAGCAAGGACAGGAGCUUGGAUCAUUUUGUGUUUCAGUGUGUUGAAUGCUUCUUGCUGCUCAUUUGACCACUGGAAACUGUCCUUCUUAAGAGCAUUGAAAAGAGGUUUGCAGAUAUAUCCAUAAUUUUGCACAAAUCUUCUGUAAUACCCUGUGAGGCCCAAGAAACUUCUCAAUUGUGAAACAUUUUCAGGGGCAGGCCAUUGAGUAAUUGCUUCGAUCUUUAUAGGGUCUGUGGCAACCCCAUCUCCCCUAAUGAUGUGGCCCAAGUACUCCACCUGAGGUUGAGCAAAAAUACAUUUGCUUAAGUUGACCACCAGUUGAUUUUCCUGUAGGGUUUUAAAAACCUCAUCCAAGUGUGCCAAAUGGUCCUCCAAUGUUUCACUGAAAAUCAAUAUGUCAUCAAAGAAAACCAACACAAAUUUUCUGAGAUGUUUCUUGAGGAUUUUGUUCAUUAACAUCUGAAAAGUGGCAGGGGCAUUGGUUAGGCCAAAAGGCAUAACCAAAUAUUCAUAAUGUCCACAAUGAGUAGUGAAAGCAGUCUUUUCAAUGUCUUCCUCUUUCAUUCUUAUUUGGUGAUAGCCACUCUUCAAAUCCAAUUUGGUAAACACAGUAGCUCCAUGAAGCUCAUCCAGCAAAUCCUCAAUAAAUGGAAUAGGGUAUUUGUUCUUGAUUGUUUGGGAAUUUACUUUUCUGAAAUCAUUGCACAGCCUCCAAGACAGAUCCUUCUUUUUAAUGAGAAUAGCGGGAGAAGAAUAAGGACUAGAGCUGUCUCGAAUUAUUUGCUUAUUGACCAUGUCCUAGAUGAUGGUCUCCAUAGCAUUCUUCUGAUGAUGAGGCAGUCUAUAAGGUCGUUGAUUGACUACUUUGGCCCCAGGUAUAAAAGGAAUUGCAUGGUCACAAGCCCUAGCAGGGGGCAACAUAGUAGGACUAGAGAAGACUUUUUUGUAUUUUCCCAUCAUGGCCUUGAUUUGAGGGUGCACAGGGGUUGUUGAUGUAUCUUCAGACUGUAACUUGUUGACAACAAUAACUGCACCACAAACUGAUUGCUCCAUUAUAUGCUUAUCCAAGCUAGAUUCAGUGACAGGAGUAGAUGGCAAACUUUCAUCCGAGAAAGUGAACAACCUUUGUUUGUCCUUUGUGAUCUGGAAUUCCAUAAGGUCAAAACCUAAUUUGACAGGGUUGUGGGUGGACAUCCAAUCAGCUCCCAAGAUAAUGUCAUAGCCUUGAAGUUUGAGAAUUCUAAAAUCUGAAGCAAAUUCCUCACCCUGAAUGGUAUAUGGACAGUUUGGGGCCAUGAAUUCAGUCCACAAAGUGCCUCCAUUGGCCACCAACACCUUUGUUUUCUUAGUGGGUGUAAGAGUGCACUUGCUCAGCGUAGCAAAAGCAGGAGACAUGAAAGUUGCAGAACUACCACUAUUAAUUAGGGCAGUAGCAGGGAGUUUGCCCACCAUUACUGUAACAGUAAAACUGAAUUUGGAAUUGCUGAUUUCCAUUAAGGCAUGCAUGGAAAUUUGUAACUGCUGUUGAUCAGGUGGUUCAUAAUUGUCUUGUUCCAUUUCUUCAGACAUUUCAGUGACAUAGACCAAAUCAGUAUCAUCAGGGUUCUGUUCUUGCAAGGCCUGAAUUUGAGCUUGGUUGCUCAUUUUACACACCUUUUUGUGUCCAGGAAACCAAGUUUCUUUGCAUUUAUAGCAAAUACCCUUGAGUCUUGCUUGUUGAAUAACAGCCGGAGUGUUAUUGAUGUUAGUUCUGGGUUGUUCCAACUCCAAUGAUUUCUUGGCAGCUGUUGGAGGGAACUGAGCAAAAUUCCUUCUUGGGGGUUGGGCUUGCUCCAUUCUUCUAGCCAGCCAGAUUGCCCUUUGUAAAUCAGCAGAUUCAUGACACUGGACAUAGUGUUGUAUGCUGUCAUGCAGGCCAGCUAUGAAACUGUUUUUGAAAUAGUCAUUUGGGAGGGCAGGAUUGUCCCUCCUCAUGAGAUUCAUGUGCUGUUCAAAUUUGAGGAUGUAAUCAUUAAGACUGCCUGACUGAAUGAGUGCAUGGAAUGCCCUGACAUUAUCACAAACAGAAUUUUCAGCAAAUCUGUCUCCCACAUGUCUGCAAAAUCGAUACCAGGGCAGAGUGUUAGCUUGGAUUCUAGUGCCUCUCCACCAUUCCAUUGCAGGACCAGUGAGGUAUGUUACUGCAAUUUCUGUUUUACUUUCAGUCGGCGUUCUAGCGGCAUCAAAAUACAUUUCAAUGGUUUGUAUCCACGAAUCUGUGCCUCUUCCAUCAAAUUCAGGAAUGUUCAUCUUGGCAGGUUUAACCAAAGCUAGAGGUCAUCUGAUAUCAAUCUGCACUUCUCUGUUGGCCUCAGCAUUUCUCCUAUGCAGCUCUACUUGAGCCUCUGCUUCAGCUUGUGCAUUAGGAGGAAGAGGAGGUAGGGUAAUAGGUGGUUGCACUGGCGGUGGAUCCUGCAAAGCCAAUCGAUUUUCCAACCCAGUUUGGACUGGCCUGUUUUGAGAGAAAUGUGGAUGUCUGUAGGGAGGUUUGUUACUUCCAUCCAGAUGUAGUUCCUUACCAGUGUUGACAUCCACUAGGACAGCUGAUCUUGCUGUCUCCGGAGUGUGCAGACCCUCUCCAGUUUUUUUAGUCGGGCCCUGUGGAGUUGCAUUAUUGCUUGUGUCAGGAGCCUCCUAAAGAACUGGGGGUGGUACAUCUCUGGGUGGGGGAAAUGAGGUGAUGAACUUGUUCAAGCAAACUUGCAGUUCACCCAAGGUCUUUUGCACUGACUGAAAAUUGUUUGCUAGAUGUUCUCUGAAAUCCAGGAAGUCCUUUCUGUCCAACUCUCUGUUCUGCUGUAGGGUUUUAACAUCAAGUUGCAGAGAUUGGAACUCCAGAGACUGAGUGCACGAGGACUCAACUUCUCCCCCCAUACUGUGAACUAGGACUAGUAGGAAGGAAUUAAGUUGGCAGGGAGCCAAACUACCUUUCUACCGACGAUCCACAAGAAAAAGGAGGGAAUUUUACAACAGCACAAGGCUGCAACCUGACCUUAAUCUUGAAGAUCCUACCGCCGCCGUCGCCGCCGCCGUCGCCGCGCCGCCACGAAGUACUCCGGAUCCGGGAGGGUGGUGGGAUUUUACUACCAAAGCAAGGGGCUUCAGCAACCACUAACCUGACCAGACCAGUACCCGAAUUUCACCGCCGCCUGCGCCACCAAGAAGCACCGCCGCCGGGAUCGAGGGGGGAAAAGAGGAUUUUACGGCGCCUCCAACUCUUCUCCGGCCCCAAAUCCAACUCGCCGCCAAGGAUCCAACCUUGCUCUGAAUACCAAAUGUCAGACUCGAGUUGUCUGACGGACUAAAUUCAGAAAACGCACUCAGUAUUCAGAGAAUAUCACUAGCACAACUUGAUUUCAGAGGACAGUUUGGCUAGGGUUUUGGUUACAAGGAGACCAACCGGGAACACCGGCGGCUAGGGUUUACCCCAAGGGAGAAUAAUCAUGAGCAUGCAGGCUCUCAAAUCCUGACUAUAUAGCCUUACAAGCCACUAGAAGGGGCGAGAAACGCACAUGGAGGAGAGGGGAGUGGUUGAGCUUUACAGAAAGAUCAACAGCGACGCCUUGACCACCAAGAGAUGUCCGAUGGAAGAUCAAUGCACCACAUCUUCCGUAGCUUGCCGAAGCGGUACGAAGCAACCAGGUGCGUUGGAUGGAAGAUG